UACGUAGGGUGCAAGCGUUGUCCGGAAUUAUUGGGCGUAAAGAGCUCGUAGGCGGUUUGUCGCGUCUGCUGUGAAAACUCAGGGCUUAACCCUGAGCCUGCAGUGGGUACGGGCAGACUAGAGUGUGGUAGGGGAGAUCGGAAUUCCUGGUGUAGCGGUGAAAUGCGCAGAUAUCAGGAGGAACACCGGUGGCGAAGGCGGCAUCCUGGACCGACACUGACACUGAGGAGCGAAAGCCAGGGGAGCAAACGGG
This 253-nucleotide ribosomal RNA is filed under the name uncultured bacterium. Its description in RNAcentral is "partial 16S ribosomal RNA". It matches the Rfam family "Bacterial small subunit ribosomal RNA", at positions 524 to 776 of the family's 1533-position model. The record is from RNAcentral.